GGUGGCAGUGUGCACCCUGAACGAUUGUCUGUAACCCGUCAAACAAACAGAAGAAGAAGAGGCUGCUGGCGCAUGCGCAGUCGCUGCGAGUUUCCGUGCGAGGACUGCUGUCAGUCACUGGGACACCGCCAUGUCCAAAGAGCAACAGACCCCCCGUGAGCCCGAGCAGCUCCGAAAACUGUUCAUCGGGGGCCUCAGUUUCGAGACAACGGACGAGAGUCUAAGAGCCCACUUCGAGCAAUGGGGGACUCUUACAGACUGUGUGGUGAUGAGGGACCCCAACACCAAGAGGUCGAGGGGUUUUGGGUUUGUGACCUAUAGUUCGGUGAAUGAGGUGGAUGCAGCGAUGGACGCUCGUCCGCACAAAGUGGACGGAAGAGCUGUUGAACCCAAGAGGGCGGUGUCUAGAGAAGACUCGUCCAGACCAGGUGCUCACUCCACUGUUAAAAAGAUGUUUGUGGGCGGAAUCAAAGAAGACACGGAUGAGGAACAUCUGCGCGAGUAUUUCAGCCAGUUUGGUAAAAUAGAGGAGGUGAACAUCAUGACUGAGAAGAACAGUGAUAAGAGGAGGGGCUUCGCCUUCAUAACAUUUGAUGACCAUGAUGCUGUUGACAGGAUUGUCAUACAGAAAUACCACACAGUGAAUGGACACAACUGUGAAGUCAGGAAAGCUCUCUCCAGAGAGGAAAUGAACAGGGUGUCGGUUAAUCAACGAGGUGGUAGAGGAGGAGGAGGUGGUGGAGGAGGAGGUGGUAGCGGUGGCGGUGGAAACUUUGGCAGAGGUGGAGGUGGAGGCUAUGGAGGUGGAUAUGGAGGAGGAAGAGGUGGUUACGGUGGAGGUGAUGGAUAUAAUGGCUACGGAGGGAAUGGUGGCUAUGGUGGAGGUGGACCUAAUUACGGAGGCAACCGCGGUUAUGGAGGAGGCGGCGGAGGUGGUGGUGGUGGUGGCUAUGGAAACCAGGGUGGAGGCUACGGUGGCGGCGGUGGCUAUGAUAACUACAACAGUGGAGGUGGAGGCAACUUCGGAGGAGGCAACUUUGGAGGUGGCGGGGGCUACAACGACUUCGGCAGCUACAACAAUCAAUCUUCCUCUAACUACGGCCCGAUGAAGGGAGGAAACUAUGGAGGUGGUGGAAGGAGCGGUGGUGGUGGAGGCCCAUACGGCGGUGGUUAUGGAGGAGGCUCUGGUGGUGGUUAUGGAGGAGGCUCUGGUGGGCGAAGGUUUUAGAUUCCAGGGAGUAUAAACUGGUGGACAGUUUGACUGUAACAGUAACCGCCAAUACAAAUGGCUGCUGAUCUCGAAGGGUAGCUAAAGACUGACGCCAGCCCAAAACGACAACUGUAAAAACGUAACAUUUUAAUUAUUUUACCAUUUUAUCCACGUUGGCAGAUGGUCAAAAUAUUUGAGUUGAUUGUCAGAGCACAGGGUCAAACACCAAGCAAUAGCUGCUGGACAGCAUUAGAAAUGUUUUAACUUUUUUUUUUUUUUAAGUCAUUUUUACAGUGUUUUAAUAAAAAAUGCUUUAUUUACCAAUGCCGUGAUUUUACAGAUUGUAUUUCAUGAGUUUUCCUGUCAGCUUCGAUUGAAAGCAAUAUAACAGGCCAUAGAAAAAUGUAUCAAUGUGGUUGAUGGACCUUGAACAAAUAUUUUAAACGUGAGCGGUAUUGCACAAAAGAAAGGUAACGGAUGAAGCUGGGAUUUUCUAGUUAGUUGAAAAUUAGCCUGGACUCAGUUACAUGAAAGCAGUAUAAAUUAUGUUAGUAUCGAGAUGUAUUUUCUGCAGCUAGAGACUAAGAACUGUAAAUAUGUUGCAUCAAUUUAAUUAUCCUGCAUUAAAAUACUUGAUAUACUGUCAUCUAAGUAUGCCUAUUUUAGUGAUAUUAUGAAUGUUGCUAUCAGAGGAUUGAUUAAUACAUUUAUUGUUGCAAUUGUUGAGAUUAUAAAAAAAUAAAAAGAAGUUGCAAAGGUGG
RNA transcript from Carassius auratus (goldfish), 1971 nucleotides. It is a transcript of the gene named heterogeneous nuclear ribonucleoprotein A1-like, with no coding region annotated. The record is from RefSeq and is a predicted model, not a curated record. NCBI's taxonomy places the organism in Eukaryota, Metazoa, Chordata, Actinopteri, Cypriniformes, Cyprinidae. The transcript has 13 exons.